This 57-nucleotide transfer RNA is filed under the name Salmo salar (Atlantic salmon). It matches the Rfam family "tRNA", at positions 8 to 63 of the family's 71-position model. From Rfam's summary of the family: Transfer RNA (tRNA) molecules are approximately 80 nucleotides in length. Lineage: Eukaryota; Metazoa; Chordata; Actinopteri; Salmoniformes; Salmonidae. The record is from Rfam by way of RNAcentral.
UAGCUCAGUUGGUAGAGCAUGGGCUUACAGCACCAGGGUUGUGGGUUUAAUUCCCAC